RNAcentral lists this ribosomal RNA (540 nucleotides) under uncultured bacterium. Its description in RNAcentral is "partial 16S ribosomal RNA". It matches the Rfam family "Bacterial small subunit ribosomal RNA", at positions 355 to 883 of the family's 1533-position model. The record is from RNAcentral.
UGGGGAAUAUUGCACAAUGGGCGCAAGCCUGAUGCAGCCAUGCCGCGUGUGUGAAGAAGGCCUUCGGGUUGUAAAGCACUUUCAGCGAGGAGGAAGGUGGUGAACUUAAUACGUUCAUCAAUUGACGUUACUCGCAGAAGAAGCACCGGCUAACUCCGUGCCAGCAGCCGCGGUAAUACGGAGGGUGCAAGCGUUAAUCGGAAUUACUGGGCGUAAAGCGCACGCAGGCGGUUUGUUAAGUCAGAUGUGAAAUCCCCGGGCUCAACCUGGGAACUGCAUUUGAAACUGGCAAGCUAGAGUCUCGUAGAGGGGGGCUAGAAUUCCAGGUGUAGCGGUGAAAUGCGUAGAGAUCUGGAGGAAUACCGGUGGCGAAGGCGGCCCCCUGGACGAAGACUGACGCUCAGGUGCGAAAGCGUGGGGCAGCAAACAGGAUUAGAUACCCUGGUAGUCCAGCGCUGUAAACGAUGUCGAUUUGGAGGUUGUGCCCUUGAGGCGUGGCUUCCGGAGCUAACGCGUUAAAGUCGACCGCCUGGGGAGUAC